Molecule: ribosomal RNA, 1678 nt
Filed under: Staphylococcus aureus M1497
Lineage: Bacteria; Bacillati; Bacillota; Bacilli; Caryophanales; Staphylococcaceae
Description: bacterial LSU rRNA
Rfam family: Bacterial large subunit ribosomal RNA
Source: RNAcentral
AGCCCGUUAAUGGGUGAUGGCGUGCCUUUUGUAGAAUGAACCGGCGAGUUACGAUUUGAUGCAAGGUUAAGCAGUAAAUGUGGAGCCGUAGCGAAAGCGAGUCUGAAUAGGGCGUUUAGUAUUUGGUCGUAGACCCGAAACCAGGUGAUCUACCCUUGGUCAGGUUGAAGUUCAGGUAACACUGAAUGGAGGACCGAACCGACUUACGUUGAAAAGUGAGCGGAUGAACUGAGGGUAGCGGAGAAAUUCCAAUCGAACCUGGAGAUAGCUGGUUCUCUCCGAAAUAGCUUUAGGGCUAGCCUCAAGUGAUGAUUAUUGGAGGUAGAGCACUGUUUGGACGAGGGGCCCCUCUCGGGUUACCGAAUUCAGACAAACUCCGAAUGCCAAUUAAUUUAACUUGGGAGUCAGAACAUGGGUGAUAAGGUCCGUGUUCGAAAGGGAAACAGCCCAGACCACCAGCUAAGGUCCCAAAAUAUAUGUUAAGUGGAAAAGGAUGUGGCGUUGCCCAGACAACUAGGAUGUUGGCUUAGAAGCAGCCAUCAUUUAAAGAGUGCGUAAUAGCUCACUAGUCGAGUGACACUGCGCCGAAAAUGUACCGGGGCUAAACAUAUUACCGAAGCUGUGGAUUGUCCUUUGGACAAUGGUAGGAGAGCGUUCUAAGGGCGUUGAAGCAUGAUCGUAAGGACAUGUGGAGCGCUUAGAAGUGAGAAUGCCGGUGUGAGUAGCGAAAGACGGGUGAGAAUCCCGUCCACCGAUUGACUAAGGUUUCCAGAGGAAGGCUCGUCCGCUCUGGGUUAGUCGGGUCCUAAGCUGAGGCCGACAGGCGUAGGCGAUGGAUAACAGGUUGAUAUUCCUGUACCACCUAUAAUCGUUUUAAUCGAUGGGGGGACGCAGUAGGAUAGGCGAAGCGUGCGAUUGGAUUGCACGUCUAAGCAGUAAGGCUGAGUAUUAGGCAAAUCCGGUACUCGUUAAGGCUGAGCUGUGAUGGGGAGAAGACAUUGAGUCUUCGAGUCGUUGAUUUCACACUGCCGAGAAAAGCCUCUAGAUAGAAAAUAGGUGCCCGUACCGCAAACCGACACAGGUAGUCAAGAUGAGAAUUCUAAGGUGAGCGAGCGAACUCUCGUUAAGGAACUCGGCAAAAUGACCCCGUAACUUCGGGAGAAGGGGUGCUCUUUAGGGUUAACGCCCAGAAGAGCCGCAGUGAAUAGGCCCAAGCGACUGUUUAUCAAAAACACAGGUCUCUGCUAAACCGUAAGGUGAUGUAUAGGGGCUGACGCCUGCCCGGUGCUGGAAGGUUAAGAGGAGUGGUUAGCUUCUGCGAAGCUACGAAUCGAAGCCCCAGUAAACGGCGGCCGUAACUAUAACGGUCCUAAGGUAGCGAAAUUCCUUGUCGGGUAAGUUCCGACCCGCACGAAAGGCGUAACGAUUUGGGCACUGUCUCAACGAGAGACUCGGUGAAAUCAUAGUACCUGUGAAGAUGCAGGUUACCCGCGACAGGACGGAAAGACCCCGUGGAGCUUUACUGUAGCCUGAUAUUGAAAUUCGGCACAGCUUGUACAGGAUAGGUAGGAGCCUUUGAAACGUGAGCGCUAGCUUACGUGGAGGCGCUGGUGGGAUACUACCCUAGCUGUGUUGGCUUUCUAACCCGCACCACUUAUCGUGGUGGGAGACAGUGUCA